GACGUAGGGUGCGAGCGUUGUCCGGAUUUAUUGGGCGUAAAGCGCGCGCAGGUGGUCCGUUAAGUCCUGUGUGAAAUCUCCCGGCUCACCCGGGAGGGGGCGCGGGAUACUGGGGGACUGGAGGCAGGCAGAGGCCGGUGGAAUUCCCGGUGUAGUGGUGAAAUGCGUAGAGAUCGGGAGGAACACCAGUGGCGAAAGCGGCCGGCUGGGCCUGUUCUGACGCUGAGGCGCGAAAGCGUGGGGAGCGAACCGG
This 253-nucleotide ribosomal RNA is filed under the name uncultured bacterium. Its description in RNAcentral is "partial 16S ribosomal RNA". It matches the Rfam family "Bacterial small subunit ribosomal RNA", at positions 524 to 776 of the family's 1533-position model. The record is from RNAcentral.